GGGGCUGACUGGAAUCGACAGCAUUGGACGGUUGGUAAGUAAGCAUGCCGAGUCAGGUGUACUCACACUCGUUAAAACUGGUGCAUAACAAUUUUAAGUGGCAACACUAACUAUGCUUUGGCUGCCUAAUUAGGCCCUUUUAAAGGAAACUAAUAACAGUCAAUUCGCCACUAGCUUGAGGCCUAAUACACAGCUAGUCGCACAAACACAACCCCUUAGGAUCGCUGCAAAGGCUUGUUUUCACCGGCGUGGUUAAACUUUUGAAAACUGGAAGUGCGUUCGUCUGCAGUAAAACUUCUCGCACUUUAAGAUUUAGAUUUAUUGCUAAGCAUGUAGAAAGCUUAUUAGCGCAUUGACUGGACGAGGGUUCGAAUCCCUCCAGCUCCACAG
Molecule: non-coding RNA, 390 nt
Organism: Saprospira grandis str. Lewin
Lineage: Bacteria; Pseudomonadati; Bacteroidota; Saprospiria; Saprospirales; Saprospiraceae
Rfam family: transfer-messenger RNA
About the family: Bacterial tmRNA, also known as 10Sa RNA or SsrA, is named for its dual tRNA and mRNA-like properties.
Source: Rfam